CGUGGAUCCGUUUUAUUUUAUAUAUAUUUUUUAUAUUUUAUAUUUAGUUUACUAAUAAUAUUAACUAAAUUAAAAAUAAUAAAUAAAUUAUAUUCAAAAGAAUAAAAACUAAAAGUAAUUAGAUAAAAGUAUUUUGUGUUAUAUUUUUCAUGAUGGAAAUUAGAUGUUGUUGAUUUUGUGAAAUUUUUUUAAUUUAAUUUAAAAAUAGUAGAUCCAUGGAUCUGGACCCGUGGA
This 234-nucleotide long non-coding RNA is filed under the name Salvia miltiorrhiza (redroot sage). Its description in RNAcentral is "long non-coding RNA (SMIL_LNC001330)". The record is from RNAcentral. Lineage: Eukaryota; Viridiplantae; Streptophyta; Magnoliopsida; Lamiales; Lamiaceae.